This is a long non-coding RNA of Arvicola amphibius (Eurasian water vole), 8133 nucleotides long. RefSeq lists it as uncharacterized. The transcript has 3 exons. NCBI's taxonomy places the organism in Eukaryota, Metazoa, Chordata, Mammalia, Rodentia, Cricetidae. The record is from RefSeq and is a predicted model, not a curated record.
UUUUUUUCCCCUGACCAUUGCCAAUAACAACUUGUAACUAACUCCCCUUAGAUGAUAAUAAAUAUCCAUAACCCAUCUUUUGGGAAUGUGGGUGUCAUUCUCUAGACUGCUUCCUGCUGUUUGGAAGUGCUGGUAAUCUGUGGGGGGAGCUUUGAGAAAAUCAAGAUAAUUGUUAAGUCUUGACUGGAAUGUCCUGUGAGGCUGGAUCAUUUCAGCCAGCAGCCAUCAAACUGUUCUGGAUGCUGGAUUACCUGGACCAUCCAUUUUCAUUGGUAUCUGGUCACCUUGCUCUGGAAAUACAUAAACAUACAUGCUUUAAUACAAUUAUAAAUUGCAUUGUACACAAGUUGGACAAAGAUGAUCUUUUAAAUACACAUCACAUGUCUUGUAGAUCUUCCUUGAUCAAACCUGAUUAACUUGGAACGAAUCCAUAGCCUUUUAUUUUCUGUGGAAAUAAAAGCAGAAACUUUCAAAGUAACUUUUUUGCUUCCAUUUUGAAGUGAAGGCAUUUGAAAAAUAUAUAGGUUGAUUUAAUCCAGCAGCUUUUGUAAUCAUAUGUCUCUUAGCAGCUAUUGCUCCUUCCUCACAGUCAAAAAAUUCAAAGACAACGCAAUAACAUAGAGUAUCCAGACUCUGCCUAUUUUCCAUUUUUAUGAGCUUUUUUAUAUAUUACUUUGCUCCCUUUUAAAUGACUUUAUUAUUUUAAAACUUUCUUUAAAGAUGAUUUAUUCAUUUACUAUGUUUAUGGUGUUAUGCCUGCAUGGAUGCCUACAUGCCAGAAGUGGGCACUAGAUCUCAUUAUAGAUGUUUGUAAGCCACCAUGUGCUUGCUGGGACUUAAACUCAGGACCUCUGAAAGAACAGCUAGUGCUCUUACCUCUGAGUCAUCUCUCCAGCCUGAAAAUCUAUGACUGUAAAUACUCUUUUCUCUUCUCUCUCCCAAGCCUAUGUAUAUUCAUAUGUUUUUGACACACUAACCCAUUCAGAGGCUUUUUUUUUUUUUUGCUGAGCAUCUGUAUUGCUUUCUGAUCACGUGAAAUGAAUCUUAAACUGGUAUGUCAGCCUCCACUGUAUCUUAGCUUAGUAUAUGGCAGUAGUGCAUGGUGGCUGGCUCUUCCCCCAGGCAGCUGCCAAGAGACACCUCUGUACUACUGCCCACAUGAGAGACUGCAGGACCCCACCAAGUUGCUUAGCUUAUGGUGUGCUGGCAUGGCUCAGGCUGGUGGCUCAAGUCCACAGGCAACAGUUGGGAGAUGCCUCCACACCACAGCCGUCAUGAAAGACAAGACUAGGAAGCUGUGUCUUACUCCGUUGCUGUGUCUAGAUCCCUUUCCCAGGCUUUCUCAGGUUCAAUGUGAUUGUAGGUGCUGAAUGUUUGGGCACCGUUUGUAGAUAGAAUUUUCCUUUCCUUCCAAUCUGCUUCCAAAUUACCACACAGCCUUAAUAUUAAUUAUAAAUGCUCAUCCAAUAGCUCAGGCUUGGCAAUUCUGAUGGUGUAGGCAAUAAAAAUGUGCAUUGUUCUUUGAGAGCUAAGUUUCACUUUGGCUACAGAGAAUUUAUAGUUUUGUGUUAAAUUGCUAGUGUAAAGAAAUUUACCUAAAGCAGGAGCUGAGAGAUCACUCAGGAGUGAGGACUUGAAUUCAUCCCCAAUAGCCACAGAACAACUGCUGGAUUUAAUGGGGGCAUGUGAGUCCCAGGCCAAAAAGAGGCCCUUGUCUCAAAAAACAAGUGGGUGAUAAGGAAUGCUACCCAGGGUUGACCUUCGACCUACAAAUUCAUGUGCACACAAUUUACAUGAAGUAGAGUACUGCAGGAUUUAAUUUUGUUGUACAACUUUUUUUUUUUAAAGACUUAUUUAUUGUGUAUACAGCAUUCCUUCCAUGUAUGCUUGCAUGCCAGAAGAGGGCACCACAUCUCAUUAUAGAUGGCUGUGAGCCACCAUGUGGUUGCUGGGAAUUGAACUCAUGACCUCUGGAAGAGCAGUCAGUGCUGUUAACCUCUGAGCCAUCUCUUCAGCUCCCUGUACAACUCUCCUCAUUAACGAUCAGGACCUUUAUCUUUGUAGAACUCUGAGUUAUAGGGGCGGGGGACACUAUACUCCUAUAGUCACAGAGGCAUAGGGUAGGGUGGUAAAUGGUGUGUUGGUUUUCCCUUGUGUUCGUAGAAAAGUGUGUACUGUGCUCUGAAGGAUAGUACCUCAUUCUUAAAGAUUUUUUUAUAAGAUGACCCUUCAGUCAACACCAUUAUCAGACUACUCUUAUGCUGCCAGGCCAGCAGUUGAGGCCUCUGAAGUGUGGUCUGAUCUGUGGGCAGUUAACAAUGGGCCCAUACUCUACCUCUUUGUGAGAUGAGAAUUCUGGUCUUACAAUGAUCAAACUGCUCUAACUUCUGUCAAUACUGCUUAAGAUCCAGAAGUGGAAAAGACACAUCUCUAGCUUUUCCAGAGUGGUAAACUUUAUAAUAUAGUCAGCUUACCACCAAACUGCUAGAUGGUCUCUCCAAGGAUGGCUAAGCCCAUUGUUAACAGGUAGAACAUGACACUAAAGCAGUGUUUGGCUCAGACUUCCUAAGUUGGUGCCCUUGUUUUAGGAGCAGGUUUGGUUUUGAUAGAGCCCACUAUCAGCACUCCAUUGAUGUUGAAAUUCCUACUGUGUAGGAAUGAGUCUUCCUGGUAGGCAUCGCAGUGUCAUGGCGAGGUCUUGAUGGCUUCAUGCCAGCCUACACCUCUGUUCUCAUCUAGCUCGUCAUUUGAAGUUUGAAAGGGAAGAGUUCCUUUCCAUAGGCUUAUUUCCCAGCAGCACUGUUAACAGGAAAGUUACAGAGUCUAGAAGCCACAGCCUUGAUGGAGGAAGUACACUUCAGGGGAUAGCUGUGUCCAACUUCCUGUUCUGUUUCAUGACUGGAUGCAUUCUGCCAGUUGAACUCAUACUUCUGCCACCACGCCUUCAUCCCCAUGAUGACUGUGUCCCCUCCGGAACUAAAAGCCAAAAAUAAACUUGGUUUUGACACAGCAACAGAAUAAAACCAAUCCAUCAUUUUAAGGCACACCAUUUGCUCUUCCCUGUGAAUGCACAUACAGAUUGGUAUUUCCUGAGCAUUUUGCCCUCUGUUGUAUGACAGGUGGAGUUUCCCAUGUGAUUAGGGUUUAUUUUCAGUGUGUUCCUCUCCAUAUUCUUCCUUUCCCUAGGCCUGAGUGAGCUCUGUCAUGUUGCUGGACACAUCUACCAGUGACAUUCAUUUCUUCUAGCUUUAUCUAAGAAGUACUCCCCUUUCAAUUUCGAUGGGUAACUGGAUCUGUGCUGUUUUAGUUUUUGAGAGUGUCUUCUAAUAGGUAGGCUGGCUUCAAUGUGAUUCUCCUGCCUCUUCCUCCCAAGGUCUAGAACUGCAGGCCCACAGCACUAUACCUGACCAGAUCUGUGGGUUUGUAUUGUUAAUUUUAGGAAACGUUGGUUGUUAUUGCUUCAGAUAUUCCUUUGUUGCCAUUAUAUUGUAAUGCCUUUGUAAUUAACUUUAGUAUAUUCACUUUGUCCCCUACUACAUUUUCCGACUGUUUUCCGUGUUGCUCACACUUACUAUACCAACUCUGUAUAUCCAUCAUACGUUUUCAGUUUUGUUGUUUAGCAACAGUCUCAUGUAGCCCAAGCUACCUCAAAUUCUGAAGCCAAAGAUAGCCUUCAACUUCCAAUCUUCCUAUCUUCAUCUCCCAGCGUUGGGAUUACAUAUGUGUGUGUGCCGCAGCACGUGUGUGGAUCAGAGGACAAUUCUCAGAAGUGAGUUCUCUCCAGCUACUUUGUGGGAUCCAGAGGCUGAACCCCUGUCAUCAGCCUACAUGAUGAAAAUCAAGCAAGAUGGCUUCCAGAGCAACUGAUUCGGUGCAUUCAGCAGAAGGACAACCGACCUGAGAACAACUUAGCUGACAACCACCCAGCAGGAGAAACGGAAUAAGAAGAGCUUGAGGAGGAACCAGUGAUCCAGCUUUCCCAGCCCCCACAGAGAGGAACGCCUGCGCCUGAUUCGGGACCUGCAGCUGCUGCCACUCUACACUGCAGGAUGCCAUUUUCUGCCUCCAGAGACUUCAGACAAAGAGACCCUGCUGAGAUGACCUGACUACAACGUCUGCAACUUGAAAAGGUUUGAACCUGUUGCUUUAGAACUAAGGUGCAGACUGAACAUUUGAGUGUUUUUAAUUUCUGGGACACAGAACUCAUUUUGAUUAAAAUAUUGAACCUAAUAACUAAGACCCAAGAUUUCCCCUCAGGGAAAGAAAGACUCAAAAUAAGGAAUGACUAAAACCACUCUUCACUUAAGAAGGGGGCAGACUAAGGGCUUAACAGCUGCCCAGAGACUGAAAGUGGUAUUUGAUAACAGCAAAUGUUAUUGUAUUCUUACUGGUAAUGACCUGAUAUUUACAACUGCUUAUGAAAUGAUGAGAAAAAUUGGUAUUGACAAAUGAUGCAACAAUGGUACUUACCAAAAGAAAUUUUAAAAAGUUGGUAUUGACUGACGAUACUAAAAAUUAUGUUAUGGAAAAAGAUAUUUGGAGAGUUGGUAUUGACUGACGAUGCUAAAAAUUAUGAUUUUUGAGUUGUUGUUAUUGGCAACAAACUGAAAAGAGUUUGAGGCACACUGUAAAUGUUGGGAGUUGAUGCAUAUGCUAAAAAUUUUAGGUUUAAGUGGUGCUCUGAACCAGCGGAAGAAACAUUUUCAACUCAGGUGAUUCUCUUCUCCUUUAAAUAGGAGACUGUAGCCUUUGGGAGCAUGAUUAUUCAUAAAGCGUUAUAAUUUAUCAUGACAAAAAAAAAGUAUGGUUACAAGACACAGGGCCCAAUAGUUUAUUUCUCUCCACUAAUCUCUUUUCUUUACAGAGAUCAGCAGUCAUCUAAGACAGAAGCUCACAUAUGUCAAUGCCUGUUCCAAAGACGGGAAAAUUUGGGUAAAGGAAGAAAACUUUGCCUAAGCCAGGCACAAUCUAUCUGUCCUGUUGCAGAAGCACAGGUUUUAUUAAAAUUAUUAAGAGGGAGUGGAUUGUAGGCCCAUAUUUUAUACGAGAUAUUUAUUUGCAGCCAAGUUCUCUGGCCAUGUUAGUUUCCAAGGCAGCUACUAUCCUGCCAGACCAUCUGUGGCUACCUAACAAAAGCCUCAGGAUGGACUGCUCCUUCUCUUUUUUUAUUAUGUAGAUCACCUGGGGAGAGGUGUGGACUCCAAGCUGGUGACUGAGUUGCAGGUGUGGUGGUACUCCCUCGUCCUUUGGAAAGAGAAUAUUAAUGAGUUUCCACCUUGGUUUACCUGGGGGAAUAAAAGAAUUGGAAGAAUAAACGUUGUUAUCUUCAGGAAUGAAUGAAGCCUGAAACUCCCUUCCGAUAUUGCUGUGUGAACUGUGUCUCAUAUCGGUCCAGUUAGGGGAAAGUAGUUUUUAUAUUGGGGCUUUGGACCCCAACAGACGGGUCUAACUUGUACUCUCUAAGUAGCCCAGGUUGGUCUCACACCUGGAGCAAUCUUUCUGCCUCUGCCUCCCAGGUGCUGGGGUUUAUACCCACCACCAUACCCAUCUGGAAUAAGUAAGAAGAUAUUGGAAGAACUUCUUUCUUUAACUGAGUGCUUCCAGAUUUUGAAGAUCUAAAAUAGAAAUGCAUUUUAUUUAAUUGUGGUAAGACACAUGCAUACAAUAUUUACCAGCUGGGCCACUUUCAAGUAUACCAUAUGCAAUGGUGUUGGAAGGAGUAACCGCCACCACCAUGAAAAUGCACAGAGAAAUUAGUCCAGAACUAGAAAGGCUAGUGUCUUUUUAAAAUUACAUUUACUUAGCUGGGUAGUGGUGGUGUACACAUUUAAUUCUUGUGUUCGGGAGGGCAAAGGCAGAGGCAGGCAGAGAUUUGUGAGUUCAAGGCCAGCCUGGUCUACAGAGUAAGUUCCAGGACAGCUGGUACUAUACAGAGAAAACCUGUGUUGAAAAGCAAACAAAACAAAACAAAAUUACAUUAUUUUGGGGUGUGGGCAGCUCAUGCACAGAUGCCACAACAAGCAUGUGUAGGUCAUGCAAUAAUAUUACCAGGGUCACUUCCCUCCCUCCACCAUAUCCCAGGGACUAAGCUCAAGCUCAGGCUGUAAGGCUACGCAGCAAAUGCCUUCAUUCACUUGGUCAUCUCUAGCUCCACUCCUAUCCUUGCCACAAGUAUGUUUCAUGAUCCAAACCAAAAUGUUUGCUUAGAGUUUUUCAAUUUAGAUUAAUUUACUAAAGUAGUAUUAAUAUUAUGCCAUACAUUCAAACUGUUUUUCCAUAGGUAAAAUUAAAAUCUAUGGCAACUAUUUAAAACAUUUAAAAAAUUGGCAUUUCUUACCCAUUUCUUUCAGAGCCAUUGGAAAUGACAACCAGCACGGGAAGGUUCAAGCAACCCAGUUUGGUGCCCAUUGUUUUCUGAGACAGACAAGAUGCCACCAGUACGAGCAACAGAAAAUAACCACAUCUGCAUCUCCCCAGUAUUAUUUUCUCUCUGAACAAAACAUGAGGCACACAGCUUUCCUGUGCAAUGACUAGAAUUGUGCACACCCUCUCACUGCUCUGAGAAUGGACUUUUGUUUUAGGCAGAUGUAGGCGAAUCAGAAUGCACAAAGGCCCACAUUUUAAGGCUGAGAAUUGAACGUGACAAAGGGGUUUUUCUUCUAUUAGCCAGGAGACCACAUGGGUUAACAGGACCUGAAAUCUCUCAGUUGUCUCUGUUUCAGAAGUGCCUGAACACUAGUACUCUGAAUACUCCUGCUGGGGCUAGAGAAACAGGAGGAAGCUGAGAGAUCUCCAGGUCUCCUAUGUCUCCCAUGACAUUGUAGCAGCUAGUUCAUCAAAAGGUCUGGACCACUGUUGUCCCAAAGACACGUGUUGAGGGGGCUAGAAACUUCUCUUAAGGAGGGGAGGCCUUACCCCAUUCUUAGAGGGACACUGAAAAGCCUGGUUAUUAAGGGAUGCUGAGGUCCAUGUUCCAGAGGCUCAUUGUAGAGGGAACAUCCAAGUUCUUCCCACCCAGCCUCACGCCUACUUCCCACGAGACUGAAUUCAUUCUGAUUUCCAAGGGCUGUCUGUGGAAAACCUCCCCACCAUCACAGCCCAGGAACUAGCACACCUCUGCGAGUCCAUCUCCCCUGUUCAGCACACUUUCCCGCUCAUGCCCUUUUCUAAAUGAAUGUGUCUGAGUGAGUGUAUAGCAUGUUUGUGGGGAUGGCAGCAUAUGCCUGAAGAAGAGGUUGGUUUCCCUGGAGCUGGAGUUACAGCAGCUAUGAACUCAGGUCUGCUGGGGGAGCUCUUCACUGCUCUUAACUAAGUCCUCUUAACUGCUGACCCAGCUCUUCAAGUCCUAAUGAACUUUUAGUGUGGGUGUGUGUGUGUGUGUGUGUGUGUGUGUGUGUGUGUGUGUGUGUGGGGAUGUGGAUCAUGACCUAGCUAGCAAAAGUGGGUCACUGAAGGAAGGGCCUUGAAAGGCUCAAGUGUUUCUGGUCUGGGCAAAGCUAUCUCUACUCCCUAACCCUCUAACAUACAAACAAGUUCCCAUGGUCACAGAUGGAAGCACCCUGGCUGCCUUGCCUUCAUCACUUAAAACUAUGCAUAGAUGCUAUGCCCACUCAUUAAACAAUAACUCCAUUGCCAUCUCUCCUAGCUUUUGACAGUUGCCAUUUUGCUUUCCAUCUCUAAAAGCCUGACUGUUUCAAAUAGCUCUUAUGACUGAAAGCACAUCUCUCCCCUUUUUACUUGUUUCUCUUAGCAUGCAGUGCUCCUGCUUCAGUCUAGGUCGCAGUAUAGACAGUCAUGGUGCGCCAUGUAUAUCCUAUUGCUGCUAUCCAUUCGUUAAGGGACAUUUGGGUUGUCUAGUUUCACAUGUUGGUUAUUGUGAAUAAUACUGUUAUAAACGUGAGCUUCUACUUCUUUCCAGAUAUUUGCCCAGAAGUGAAAUUGCAGAAUAUGAUUUUUUUAAUGUUUGUGCCAUUUCUGCAUCAUUUUACAUAGUAGUUGCAGCUGUCUACACUCCCUCUAAUAGAGCACAAGGAUUUUAAUCUCUCCAUAUUCUUACCAGUGCUUGAUUUUAUUUACUUAUCUCAUUUCUUUCUCCCCCCUUUUUUCUUUUUUUUAAUAAAAAAUUAAUUAUUA